GCGGGGUUAGCUCAGCGGUAGAGCAGCGUCUUUACACGGCGACGGUCGGGGGUUCAAUCCCCUCACCCCGCACCA
Molecule: transfer RNA, 75 nt
Filed under: Oligoflexia bacterium
Lineage: Bacteria; Pseudomonadati; Bdellovibrionota; Oligoflexia
Description: tRNA-Val
Rfam family: tRNA
About the family: Transfer RNA (tRNA) molecules are approximately 80 nucleotides in length. Their secondary structure includes four short double-helical elements and three loops (D, anti-codon, and T loops). Further hydrogen bonds mediate the characteristic L-shaped molecular structure. tRNAs have two regions of fundamental functional importance: the anti-codon, which is responsible for specific mRNA codon recognition, and the 3' end, to which the tRNAs corresponding amino acid is attached (by aminoacyl-tRNA synthetases). tRNAs cope with the degeneracy of the genetic code in two manners: having more than one tRNA (with a specific anti-codon) for a particular amino acid; and 'wobble' base-pairing, i.e. permitting non-standard base-pairing at the 3rd anti-codon position.
Source: RNAcentral